This 497-nucleotide ribosomal RNA is filed under the name uncultured bacterium. Its description in RNAcentral is "partial 16S ribosomal RNA". It matches the Rfam family "Bacterial small subunit ribosomal RNA", at positions 28 to 507 of the family's 1533-position model. The record is from RNAcentral.
GAUGAACGCUGGCGGCGUGCCUAAUACAUGCAAGUCGAGCGAACAGACGAUGAGCUUGCUCCUCUGACGUUAGCGGCGGACGGGUGAGUAAAACGUGGAUAACCUACCUAUAAGACUGGGAUAACUUCGGGAAACCGGAGCUAAUACCGGAUAAUAUAUUGAACCGCAUGGUUCAAUAGUGAAAGACGGUUUUGCUGUCACUUAUAGAUGGAUCCGCGCCGCAUUAGCUAGUUGGUAAGGUAACGGCUUACCAAGGCAACGAUGCGUAGCCGACCUGAGAGGGUGAUCGGCCACACUGGAACUGAGACACGGUCCAGACUCCUACGGGAGGCAGCAGUAGGGAAUCUUCCGCAAUGGGCGAAAGCCUGACGGAGCAACGUCGCGUGAGUGAUGAAGGUCUUCGGAUCGUAAAACUCUGUUAUUAGGGAAGAACAAAUGUGUAAGUAACUAUGCACGUCUUGACGGUACCUAAUCAGAAAGCCACGGCUAACUACGUG